RNAcentral lists this microRNA precursor (85 nucleotides) under Manihot esculenta (cassava). The record is from RNAcentral. Lineage: Eukaryota; Viridiplantae; Streptophyta; Magnoliopsida; Malpighiales; Euphorbiaceae.
AGAGCCAAGAAUGACUUGCCGACUUGGCCAUGAGAAUGCUCAAAAACGACGGGUUGCCUGCCGGUCGGCAAGUCGUUCUAGCUCU